Small nucleolar RNA from Lolium rigidum, 81 nucleotides. RefSeq annotates it as small nucleolar RNA U54. NCBI's taxonomy places the organism in Eukaryota, Viridiplantae, Streptophyta, Magnoliopsida, Poales, Poaceae. The record is from RefSeq and is a predicted model, not a curated record. The transcript has a single exon.
AGCUCAGUGAAUUCAACAAAAUACAUUUUGGUUAUAUACACUAUUCUGAAUUUGUUGUUGUAAAAGAAAUUUAUGGGAGCU